Molecule: long non-coding RNA, 1350 nt
Organism: Oryzias melastigma (Indian medaka)
Lineage: Eukaryota; Metazoa; Chordata; Actinopteri; Beloniformes; Adrianichthyidae
Exons: 3
Source: RefSeq, a predicted model, not a curated record
CCCUGUCUUAUCUGCUGCUGAUAACCUGGAUCAGAUGUGUUUGUCCAAUAAGGAGCUUCAAUGGCAGGUUGGAAAACAUAAAGGAGGCCUGUCCUCAAGGUCUGGAUUUUGACACCCCUACCCUAAGGGCACCCUUACCAGAACAGAAUGGACUUCCCCCUGCAUUAAUAAAGGUUAAUGAGCAACCAGCAGGACAGAGUUUCUGCAGAGCACCAGAAGUUCAGCUCAGAGUUGUGGGUGGGACUGUUGGCACGGAGCAACCCUGCCCUCACUUCCCAUCAACCACUUGUUUACACCAUUGACUGUACAUAAGAGCUGGACUGAGUGACUCGUUUCCCUGAUGUUCCAAAUAGGAAUAACUCACUGGUCCCAAAAAGCUGAAAUCCCAUUGAAGAGAAAUGGCACAAUACACUUUUGUAUCAUCCACACGAUAUGUGACAUCACCCACCACUAAACUGACUGCAUUUGGUUUGACAUUUUCUAUAGGUGACGUCUAACUCACUCUGUCCAAUUCUCUAUAUACAGUCAAUGGCUUACAGUCUCUCCAGCUGGCUUACAGCCCUUCAAACCCCCAACCUAACAUUACUGAAGCUGUUGUCAAUAAGUGGAUGCAUCAGAAUGGAGCAGAGUAGUGAGCUUGUGGCCUUUCGACUGAACCUUCUUCAUCACAACUACAAGAUUUUUUUAAACCAUUUUCAUCUCCUCCUGAUUCACAAAAAUUUGAAUAAACAAUAAUAAAUAUUUUAUAUGUCCUCUUAAAACACCAUUUUAAUCAGAGUUGGUCUUUAAAAUAAAAGAAAGUAACAUAAGCUUGUUCCACUUUAGUAUGUUUUGUUUUUUGAAGUUAGUUCCUGUAACAUAAUAUCCCAGAAACCAUCAACUUCCUUAAAUGAGAGGUUGGCUAUUAGGCUGGGAAUGGUCAGGCUCAUUUGAGGGAAAUUGGGGGGCCCCUCUGCAUUUGCCCUUGGGGCCCCAAAAUCCAUGAAGCGGCCCUGGCCUAAACUAAAAUCCAAUGACAUGUCUACGCAUACAUUAUGCCUGAUGACAUGCACGUUUAGAAGUUUAAAAAGAAUAACAAGAACCAUGACUUUUAUAGUAAACACAUUGUUCCCUCUGGGUGGGAAAAGGAGCAAAGCUGUGACAAACAAUAAAGUUUCUUCAAAGAGACAAAGGGAAGUUAUCUGAAUGUUUAUGCAACUUCAGAAGCUUUUGAAACCACUGAAGUAAAACGGAGUUCCAUAAGGGUUCCUGUCUCCGGUAAGUCUGUCUUCCGCAUUGCUCGGCAUUGGAUUCCCCAGAGACCCCCGGGAGCCCCGCUGAGCCAAGAAAAGCCGUCCGCCUGGCCGCCUU